UCUUCCUGCCCUCAGCGUGGCGCGCGUGUUUCUGGUUGAAUUCUCAUGGAUCAAGAUAAGGGUUCUGAGCAUCACCUCCCGCCCCAGGUCCAUCUGGGCAACUCUGAGAGUUACAGCUUGUCUACUUCCACGUGGAUUUUCUGGCCUGAAGACUCUCAACUGCUGACCUCUCCUCUCAAAUCCUAAAUCUCAUCUCAGUAUCAUUUCGUUCCCAGUGUUUUCAAUCCAAAAUCAUUUUACAUUUGAUAGAGACCACAGAAAGUAUCGUUUAUCUUUUUAAUGUAAAUGUAAUUUCCGAAGCAGACCAUGCCCCUUGAUUAUAGGCAAAAUCAAACCUAAUAUUAGUUUGGAUUUAUUUUACUGUUAAUAUUAUUUACCUUCUAAAAACAGACUAACCCCAAUUAGCAUUGUGAAUUGUCUGCCCUGUAAUGACCAGAUAUCCCAUUCUAUUGCAUUACUGAAAUCAUUUGCAUAGUAAUUAUGGUUUAGCUUUAUGCGUAAUUGGAAUUGUUUCCCUCCUGGUAA
Molecule: long non-coding RNA, 525 nt
Organism: Neogale vison (American mink)
Lineage: Eukaryota; Metazoa; Chordata; Mammalia; Carnivora; Mustelidae
Exons: 3
Source: RefSeq, a predicted model, not a curated record